UACGAAGGGGGCUAGCGUUGCUCGGAAUCACUGGGCGUAAAGGGUGCGUAGGCGGGUCUUUAAGUCAGAGGUGAAAUCCUGGAGCUCAACUCCAGAACUGCCUUUGAUACUGAGGAUCUUGAGUUCGGGAGAGGUGAGUGGAACUGCGAGUGUAGAGGUGAAAUUCGUAGAUAUUCGCAAGAACACCAGUGGCGAAGGCGGCUCACUGGCCCGAUACUGACGCUGAGGCACGGAAAGCGUGGGGAGCAAACAGG
RNAcentral lists this ribosomal RNA (254 nucleotides) under uncultured bacterium. RNAcentral's name for it is "partial 16S ribosomal RNA". It matches the Rfam family "Bacterial small subunit ribosomal RNA", at positions 524 to 776 of the family's 1533-position model. The record is from RNAcentral.